RNAcentral lists this ribosomal RNA (596 nucleotides) under Hanseniaspora opuntiae. RNAcentral's name for it is "LSU rRNA". It matches the Rfam family "Eukaryotic large subunit ribosomal RNA", at positions 48 to 658 of the family's 3401-position model. The record is from RNAcentral. Lineage: Eukaryota; Fungi; Ascomycota; Saccharomycetes; Saccharomycodales; Saccharomycodaceae.
UAGCGGAGGAAAAGAAACCAACUGGGAUUACCUUAGUAACGGCGAGUGAAGCGGUAAAAGCUCAAAUUUGAAAUCUGGUACUUUCAGUGCCCGAGUUGUAAUUUGUAGAAUUUGUCUUUGAUUAGGUCCUUGUCUAUGUUCCUUGGAACAGGACGUCAUAGAGGGUGAGAAUCCCGUUUGGCGAGGAUACCUUUUCUCUGUAAGACUUUUUCGAAGAGUCGAGUUGUUUGGGAAUGCAGCUCAAAGUGGGUGGUAAAUUCCAUCUAAAGCUAAAUAUUGGCGAGAGACCGAUAGCGAACAAGUACAGUGAUGGAAAGAUGAAAAGAACUUUGAAAAGAGAGUGAAAAAGUACGUGAAAUUGUUGAAAGGGAAGGGCAUUUGAUCAGACAUGGUGUUUUUUGCAUGCACUCGCCUCUCGUGGGCUUGGGCCUCUCAAAAAUUUCACUGGGCCAACAUCAAUUCUGGCAGUAGGAUAAAUCAUUAAGAAUGUAGCUACCUCGGUAGUGUUAUAGCUUAUUGGAAUACUGCUAGCUGGGAUUGAGGACUGCGCUUCGGCAAGGAUGUUGGCAUAAUGGUUAAAUGCCGCCCGUCUUGAC